GUGUGGUGCAGUGAUGUGACCGUAUCCCCAAAUCAUAAGUUUAUAAAUCGUAUUGUAGGGCUUUUUUUGCAAAUGGCCCCUAAAAAAAUUUUAUUUUAAAAGUAGCUCUGUCAAAAUUUAAUUUGCAAAAAUGGCCUGGCCCUGCCACGCAGGCGCCAUAUCACCGCCACGCGGGCAGGAGGCCAGUGUGUUAAGUUAAACACGGUGAACUAUUCACCGUAUUCAAACACGGUGAACCAUUCACCGUGUUUCAUAUUUAUAUUCUUUUUCUUCUCUUUUAAGGAUGUCAAUGGGUCGGGUUUGGAUCUCCGAACCCGGCAGGUUUUAAAAAUCCAUACCCAUAUAACUUUAAUAUAUAGAUAUAGGUAUGGAUUUUUAAAACCCGCAAGGCUCGAAUUCGUGUAUGGGUUUUAAUUUGAUUUUCGGAUUCGAUUUCGGGUUUUUAAAAACCCGAUCCAAACCCGACCCGUUGACAUCCCUAAAAGAGAAGAAAAAGAAUAUAAAUAUGAAAUACGGUGAAUCAUUCACCGUGUUUGAACUCGGUAAAUAGUUCACCGUGUUUGAACACAGUGAAUGGUUCACCGUGUUCAACUUAACACACUGGCCCCAGUCCUGCCCGCGUGGCGCUGACAUGGCGCCUGCGUGGCAGUGCCAGGGCCAUUUUUGCAAAUUAAAUUUUGACAAGGUUAUUUUUAAAAUAAAAAUUUGCCGGGGGACUAAAUUGAAAAAAAGCCCAUAUUGUAUUUUAUAGAAUACAAAACUUGAGGUUUAAUUGUACUAUAUUACAGUGUACUUUUUUUUUUUUCACCUUUUCAUCUGCAUAUAUACUUCUACAUUAUUCCUUCUAAAUUUGCUACAUAGCAACAUUCUUUUUAUUAUUGAGUAUGGGCUUCACCUCGAACCAGUUCAAGUCCUCCAUAUUCCCUUUUUUUGUUUGAAUUGAAUCUAAUUUUUCUCUUUUUUUGCUUGAACCGAACCAAUCAUUAUUGAGUAUAAGCUCUCCCAAAUACAAAAGAUAAAUAAAUAAAUAAAAAGCGCUCGGAGAUUUUGUGUAGAUUAUAGGCAAUUUUGAAGAUCUUUUGGAUAUGCUCCAAGGGUCAAAAUUAUUUUCCAAGCUAGAUCUAAGAGUUGAAUACCAUCAGAUUCAGAGAAAUGCAAGUUACCCUUUCGAUUUGUUUGAUUUGAAUUGGUCAACGACACUUUAACUUUAAAUUUUGAAUGCAUCAUUUUUUUUUAUAGGUUUAGUUAGUAUAUACUUCAUGCAAUUAGUGCAACUAUAAAUUUAUUGAAGUAAGAAAUUAACUUCAAUUUUAAAGCCAAAAUGUUGUUGACUGACUCAAAUUAAUAAAUUGAAAGAUUGAAUAGCAGAUUCAAAAUGAUUCACAUUUCAGCUAAGUUCUAUAUAUUUUUCCCAUAUAUACUAAAAGUAUCGUUCUCUGAUAGCUUAAAUCUUUUGGAGACAAAAGGGUGCUUCACACUCCUAACAAUAU
Molecule: long non-coding RNA, 1490 nt
Filed under: Ananas comosus (pineapple)
Lineage: Eukaryota; Viridiplantae; Streptophyta; Magnoliopsida; Poales; Bromeliaceae
Description: long non-coding RNA (ACOM_LNC015475)
Source: RNAcentral